Gallus gallus (chicken) is the source of this 921-nucleotide long non-coding RNA. Lineage: Eukaryota; Metazoa; Chordata; Aves; Galliformes; Phasianidae. The record is from Ensembl.
GUGCUCCCUAAAAAUAGAACUUUUCAUCUAUGCGCUUCAGUUGAAAGCUACUGAGGACUGGACACAGUGGUUAGAGGAGACUUGCUGGAAAUCUCAUUCUGAAAAAUUCCAGCAAUUCAAACAGUGUUCACCAAGUCAGAGGGAAAUUCUCUAAGGAAAGAAUCAGCAAAAUUAGCAUUGAGAAGGCAAGCAGCCAACCUGUUGAAGAGUUUGUGUGAGAACAUUGUAUACUUCCAUCGAACACAAGGGGACUAAUUAGCUUGAACAACCACAUUUAUCUCAGUCCAUAACAGUUCAACAUCUAUGUCAGGGGAAAUCUUGUUUCUCACUUGUAGGAGACAAUAAUUAAUAUUAAUUAAACUACUUUGCUGCAGUCUGAUCUAAUAACUUCUAGCAACCAUUACUAAGUCUUUAGUCUGUUGAUCCUUAAAUUAUUUCCUUUGUUUAAUCUGUGUAAAUUGUGUAAAUCUGUGUAAAUUGUUUAAAACUAUGCAAGGUAGACCGUAGAGAGAAGAGCUGCCCAAGUAUGACAGACAGGAGGGAAUGAUAUACGGUAGACAGAGGAUUUCUCCCUGUUGAAUUGUUCAGCCAUGAACAUCAGUGUUUCUAAUGUCUUGGGACCAGUGCUAUUCAACAUCUUCAUCGCUGACACAGACGAUGGCAUCGAGUGCAUCCUCAGCAAGUUUGCAGAUGGACCUGGACAGGCUGGAGAACUGGGCCCAUGUGAAACUAAUGAAGUUCAACAAGGCCAAGUGCAAGGUAAAAGUGGAAAGGUACAUUUCACUACAUACCGAAUUUGUUGAUAUUUGAAGACACUGACAUUUACUCAAGAAUUCUUAUUGGAAAACAGAAAGCUUUUCAGAUGAGGUCUUCUCACAGGCAUGUGUUUAUGACUCGCUUCCAAAAAAAAAAAAAAAAAAG